GUUCAAUUCCUUUGCUGCCACCUUAGUCGCCUGGCAACAGUUCAAAUGAAUGGGUGUUGUGUAGGCCCACGGAUACGUGUUAUUUGCCCUUUUGUGCCCAGCCUGUUAUGGGGCCAGUGUCUGAAUCAAGCUGGGCCAGUCUUGCUCCGUGGUGCUUUAGUUUAUGGUGUUUCGAGGCCAAUGUUGUUGGAUCUACUCAUUAAAAGAAUGCAAUGCAUGGCCUUUUGAUCUCCAUUGAAAACACCUAUACGUCGACGGUCGACAGUUCACGUACUGCCUGCCUGUGUGACAGACCUCCACGCACCACUCCAUCGCUCCCAACUGGGCCAGCAGUAGGCAGUGUUUUGUUUGUGUGUUUGUCGGUGUGUGCAUGCUGUGUUAACAAGUUUGCUGUUUCUGUGUGUGUCACUUUGUGCAUGAUGUGUUUAGAGGUAUGUUACUGUCUGUCAGUGUUUUCACAAGUGCCAAUCUGCAAAUAAAGAUUAAAAUGUGCAUGUA
Portunus trituberculatus (swimming crab) is the source of this 498-nucleotide long non-coding RNA. RefSeq lists it as uncharacterized. The transcript is spliced from 3 exons. The record is from RefSeq and is a predicted model, not a curated record. NCBI's taxonomy places the organism in Eukaryota, Metazoa, Arthropoda, Malacostraca, Decapoda, Portunidae.